UUAAUGCACAAGUCUGACCAUGUCACUUUCCCAUACUCAGACACUUCUAGUGUAUCCUUACGGCUCAAAGGAUAAAACAAAAGCUCCUCAGCCUAGCACUCACAGCUUUCUGUAAUGUGGCUCUAAGUUUCCAUUAGCCUUAUUUCAUAUUACUCAUUUUCAUACUAUUUUGAGCCAAACCAAAAUGACUAAUUGUUCCCUGAACUUAACAUAUCAUCUCCUACCUUCAUGCAUUUUUCUGCAGGCUAAUCCAAGGCCUGGAAUGUACUCCUGCCUCAUCUCUGCAGGCCAUCUCCAGUCAUGCUGUCUCCACUCAACUCCUCUCGGGUCAUCAUCUCUACUCCCUCCCCACCGGAAAGCUAGACUGCAUCCCUGAAACCACCCUAAGCUUAAAGAGGUCAAUUCUGGCCUUGUCUUAUCUUGAACAUCUCCAGAGGAAAACAGAGCCUCAGUUUCCCUAAGUGACCAGCCCACAGCCAAACAGCUAGGGAGUGGCAGAGAACAUUAGCCUCAGACUAAAGGUGGAAGAAACCUUAGAGAUUAACCAGUCCCACUUCCUCAUCCUGGAGCUGAGCAAACAGAAACAAAGUGAAAUAACCUGCUCAAGGUCUAGCUCACCCUUCCUGUGAACCUGGGCUUCUCAUCCGUCUGAUGAUUUCUGACUCAUUGCUUCACUCUGACCUUUGAUCCAUCCACAAUUCUGAAAUUCUGGCUACCUGCCUGGCUGGUGACCCAGGACCUGGCCUAAAUCCUUAUCAUGUACACUUCUCCGGCUCUACUGGACCAUGAUUCCUGCUUUGUUUCUCAGCUAAAAUGAUUUUGUUUAUGGGGGGGAG
This is a long non-coding RNA of Phascolarctos cinereus (koala), 836 nucleotides long. RefSeq lists it as uncharacterized. Lineage: Eukaryota; Metazoa; Chordata; Mammalia; Diprotodontia; Phascolarctidae. The record is from RefSeq and is a predicted model, not a curated record.